RNAcentral lists this ribosomal RNA (1233 nucleotides) under Duplicibothrium sp. 2 KJ-2010. RNAcentral's name for it is "partial 28S ribosomal RNA". It matches the Rfam family "Eukaryotic large subunit ribosomal RNA", at positions 65 to 789 of the family's 3401-position model. Lineage: Eukaryota; Metazoa; Platyhelminthes; Cestoda; Tetraphyllidea; Serendipidae. The record is from RNAcentral.
CUAACCAGGAUUCCCCUAGUAACGGCGAGUGAAGAGGGAAAAGCCCAGCACCGAAGCCUGUGGCCAUUUGGCUACUAGGCAAUGUGGUGUUUAGGCCGACUCGCGGGACUGCCGCUCCACUCGAAGUCCAGCAUUGAGUAUGGUCACUGGAUUUGGCCCAGAGAGGGUGAUAGGCCCGUACGGGUGGAGUUUCAGACAUGUAAGGCAGUUCACCAGGUCGACCUUCGAGUCGGGUUGUUUGAGAAUGCAGCCCAAAGUGGGUGGUAAACUCCAUCCAAGGCUAAAUACAAGCACGAGUCCGAUAGCGAACAAGUACCGUGAGGGAAAGUUGAAAAGUACUUUGAAGAGAGAGUAAACAGUACGUGAAACCGCAUGCAGGUAAACGGGUGGCGUCAAGCUGCAAUCCUGGAGAAUUCAGCCGGCUAGUGUGUCGUAUAUGCGCCUGGCGCUUCAUCAGUCAGAAUAAGAUGUGAUAGUCUACCGGGCAACGGUAGGCCGGGCCGCAAGGCUCGGUUAUGUGUACCGGGCGGAAGCCGGAGCAUGCUAUUCAUCUGUUGGACUGGCUAGCCGGUGCACUUUCUCUAUGGUGAACACCACGAUCGGUGGAAUUGCCAGUCUGCUGUAGUCAAGUCGUAGCUGAUAAGUUCUUGCAAUUUAUUGGUUGCGAUCACAGGCAAUGUCAGUAUACGGCGUAGAGGUGUUUUGUCAUCUUUGCGUGAUAUCGGCUACUGCUUGUCAACGAGCCUGCCUUGCAGUUGUUGUAAUCGCUGCUUGGUGGCUUGGUGGACUACAGUGGUAUGUAUAACUGUGCAAGGCACCGGGGAUUACGGCUUCAAAUGCGCUCUGCAUACACGUUACAAGUGGUGUGGGGUGCCAUUGCUGCCUGCUUACUGUUGAGUCUGAUUGUCGUGUUGCCUGCAAAAAGUAGGCCCGGCAGUGGCUUAAUGUGAGAUGGGUAGUUGGUGGUGCUUCGCGUGCAGGGUGUUGUGGGCCAAAUAAUCAGUGGUGCAGUGGUAGACGAGCUACCCGACCCGUCUUGAAACACGGACCAAGGAGUUCAACAUGUAUGCGAGUCAAUGGGCCCUACGAAACCCAAAGGCGCAAUGAAAGUAAAGCUUCGACUUGUUCUCGAAGUGAGGUGAGAUCCUGCCGUUACUCGCAUCAGCCUAAUGCCAGCAUCAGGCUAAGAGCGGUGGGCGCAUCACCGGCCCGUCCCAUGAUGUGGCCAUUGGC